This 72-nucleotide transfer RNA is filed under the name Camelus bactrianus (Bactrian camel). It matches the Rfam family "tRNA". Rfam says of the family: Transfer RNA (tRNA) molecules are approximately 80 nucleotides in length. Their secondary structure includes four short double-helical elements and three loops (D, anti-codon, and T loops). Further hydrogen bonds mediate the characteristic L-shaped molecular structure. tRNAs have two regions of fundamental functional importance: the anti-codon, which is responsible for specific mRNA codon recognition, and the 3' end, to which the tRNAs corresponding amino acid is attached (by aminoacyl-tRNA synthetases). tRNAs cope with the degeneracy of the genetic code in two manners: having more than one tRNA (with a specific anti-codon) for a particular amino acid; and 'wobble' base-pairing, i.e. permitting non-standard base-pairing at the 3rd anti-codon position. RNAcentral also lists the same sequence under 2 other names. Lineage: Eukaryota; Metazoa; Chordata; Mammalia; Artiodactyla; Camelidae. The record is from Rfam by way of RNAcentral.
GAGGGUAUAGUUCAGUGGUAGAGCACAUACUUCGCAUGCACAAGGUCCUGGGUUCAAUCCCCACUGCCUUCA